AGUUCUGGAGGCUAAAAGUCCAAGAUCAAAGGCACCAGUAGAUUUGGUAAACUAGGAAGCGGUGAGGGCCCACUUCCUGGUUUAUAGACUGAUGGCUGUCUUCUCACUGUGUCCUCAAAUGGAAGCUGAUGUUUCACAAAUAUUUUCUGGGUAAAUGGAUGGGCCUCGUGGGCUGUGCGGCUAUCCUGGAGACAGAUGACAGCUCUCCCUUGGAUGGCUUUGCUGGUUCCGCACCAGCCAGCGCCCCCAUUUUUCCUGCAGCACCCUGAUCUGCACUCCCUGAGGGGCUCCCACUGUCCGCGGUGUGAGGAUGUCCCUGGAAAUUGGUCUUCUGUGACUUUCUUGAUGGGGGCAGAUGAGAUCUUUGUACUGCAUUAAGUGGAUAGCGCUCAGGUCCUUUGGGCUUGGCGCUUUGGCAAUCUCCAGGCAGCUCACUUUGGCCUCUGUUCCUGGAUCCCCUUUGCUCUUUUCUGCGCCUGCAUUCAUAGUCCACUGUGUGCAGAGGCAUGGGAGUUGUCAUGUUGGGAACAUGCUAGACCUCAGUAUCCUUGAGGGAUGCUGCCUUGGGUCUGGAAACUGUUAGAGGAAACCCCAAGAGGUGCAGGCACUGAGCCUCUCAGGACAAUGACCUGGGGUCCCAGCUCCCCUGGAGGGGCCUCCUCAUGAUUGUUUGGGGGUUGAUCACAGACCAAGAGUGACGAGUGAUGUCACCCUGUGACUCAUGGCUGGACCUUCUUGCCCCUAUUGUCUCAGCACAACAUUAUUCGACUUUUCCCUCAGCGUGGGUGGGCAGAGGAAAAGCCCUGUGGCUCUGGGGACUUGGGAUCCAGAGUUGAAGACCCUUCAGCUGGCUCUGCCCUGCCAGUGCCACAGAGUGCCAUGGCCCAGGAAGACAGGUUUUCUUCCAUCUAGGCCAGGCCAUCCAGUGGCCAUCCUCCGUGUCCUCCCGCCUCCUCCUGGUGUGACUUCUGAAAACCAAGAAUUUGUUCCUGUUGACUUUUUCUGUGCUAUGGACCAUUGUCCUCUCACCCACUCAAUAAAUCUUGAAACAUGCCCUGCUGCUUGUUCUUUCA
This is a long non-coding RNA of Homo sapiens (human), 1073 nucleotides long. Ensembl annotates it as small nucleolar RNA host gene 11. Its record names the gene SNHG11. NCBI's taxonomy places the organism in Eukaryota, Metazoa, Chordata, Mammalia, Primates, Hominidae. The record is from Ensembl.